AACGGGAGACUAUUGUAUGAUGUGAAAUGUCUGAGGCUUGGUGUAGUUGCUUCAUUUUGGUAACUCUUCUCAUUCAAGAAAUGAGUAUAAAUUCCAGAGACUCCAAACCUUGAAUUCAACUGAAACCAACCCCCAAGUAAAGGAGAAGAUGCUCAGGAUGGCUGGAGUUUGAACCUAGUCAACUGGUAGGGGGACUUCAUUUUUCCCCACGUAUUUUCGACAGACCGUGGCCCCGUCUAUUGUUUUUGAAGAGGAAAACUCCUGGUGCCAAGAAGUCCACUGAUCCUUGGUUCAGACAAGGACUUUCAAUUGCUCAAGUCAGAUGAAUAUUGAAAGGUCACCAGAGGAUACACCAGGAUAAAAACCCUAUGAACUUGAUAUUGAAAUUUUCUUGUUGAACUGAUGUUGGAAGGUGGGGAGAGUAGAAAAUAAGUUGUAAAAUGGCCCAGGGCUUAAUUUAUUUAAAACUUUGGUUAAAAACGUUUGCUGCUUUGAAUUGUUUUAUGAGAAACCACAGAAGAUGUUAGGUAGUGGAAGAAAAGAAUUCCACUGAGAGGGCUUUAACUACCCUGUUACCUUCAUAGCCCCCCAGCAGUAAUCCACAAAAAUGAUAUUUUUUGUAUGGAAAGUUGACCUUUUUCUCAAUAUAAUGUAGAUUGAAUAAAAAUCUGUGCUUUUUUAAAUGCUAUGCAAGUUAAAAUGAUAUCCAAGUAAAAACUCUGAGUUUGCUAUGAAACACAUGUCUGAUUGCAGCCAGAUUGCUACCUCCGAACACUUCUUAGGUAGAAACAAUGUAGCCAGCUCACCGGUUUUCUGAGAUAAUACCUAAAAUUUUGCAACCCAAGACUGUUCCGUUUUCUUUACCAUCUGGUUCUAGGAACACAGGGACACCAUGACUAUUGAAGCGUUGAAGAUUCCAGAUUAAACGUGUUUUAAAAUGUAAGCCUACACUGCAGGGCAUGGUGGUGUGCCUGGAGUCCUAGCUACGUGGGAGGCUGAGGUAGGAGGAUCCCUUGAGUCCAGAAAUUCUGGUGCAGCCUGAGCCACACAGUGAAACCUCGUUUUUAAUAAAAUAUUUUUUAAGCCUACACUUCCUAAAUUUUGUAUAGUGACUGCACUAAAGGACAUUAUAUAUUUUCUUUAGUACUCACGCUAAUAGUAUUCAAUAAUGCUAUUACUUCCUGCUUUGACAGAUGAGGAAAAUGGAGCAUGACGGGAAUGGCGAGUGUUGGGAAUAAGGGAGUGUAACCACCCUCUUCUCCCAGAUGCCUGUGCCUUUGAGCAAUUCACUUGCUCUUCCUUCGCAAAGAGGUUGGACCAGCCUCUGGGUGAUUUCUAACCUCUAACAUUAGAGGGCAGUGACUCUAAGCUAAAACACCGUUGUGGGAUCCACUGUGCUGGUAUCAAGCCACGAAGAGGAAGCAUCUGUGCUACAGAAACUCAUAGGUGAAAGGAGCGUCUUUCACUGCCUUAUAAACUUGUA
This is a long non-coding RNA of Macaca fascicularis (crab-eating macaque), 1483 nucleotides long. The record is from Ensembl. NCBI's taxonomy places the organism in Eukaryota, Metazoa, Chordata, Mammalia, Primates, Cercopithecidae.